Molecule: ribosomal RNA, 494 nt
Filed under: uncultured bacterium
Lineage: Bacteria
Description: partial 16S ribosomal RNA
Rfam family: Bacterial small subunit ribosomal RNA
Source: RNAcentral
GACGAACGCUGGCGGCGCGCUUAACACAUGCAAGUCGAACGGAAAGGCCUGCUUUCCCUUGUGGAUUGCGGGUACUCGAGUGGCGAACGGGUGAGUAACACGUGAGUGAUCUGCCCCCAACUUGGGUAUAAGCCUGGGAAACUGGGUCUAAUUCCCGAUAGGACUGUAGGGUGGUGCCUGUGGUGGAAAACGAUUUUCUAGUGGUUGGGGAUGAGCUCGCGGCCUAUCAGCUUGUUGGUGGGGUAAUGGCCUACCAAGGCGGCGACGGGUAGCCGGCCUGAGAGGGUGGACGGCCACAUUGGGACUGAGAUACGGCCCAGACUCCUACGGGAGGCAGCAGUGGGGAAUAGUGCACAAUGGGCGGAAGCCUGAUGCAGCGACGCCGCGUGGGGGAUGACGGCCUUCGGGUUGUAAACUCCUUUCGACCGCGAGGAAGCCACCUGGUUGGAAGGGUGGUGACGGUAGUGGUAGAAGAAGCACCGGCUAACUACGUG